AAAGAAGUCGUGGGACAGGAAGCUUGCGAGGCAGGAGACCAGUGUCCAUGGAUGCCAGAACAGGCGAAAAGCUAACGAGAAGGAGAGGCAAGCAGCCCUCCAAGUGGCUGAUGGCUUCAUCUCUCGCAUGAGAUACUCCCCAAGCACUCAGGUGGAGAUUCUGCCCCAGGGCCGAGAGAGUCCCAUCUUCAAGCAAUUCUUCAAGGACUGGAAGUGAGGGUGGGUGUGCCCAGCCCUGCUCUCCUGCCUGCCACUACCUGCCUGCUUGUUCCUGCCCCUGGCUGCUGAGUCAGCACCAAGGUGCCCUCUGGAUGCUCAAUAAAGGAGACACAUUCCGUUCCCAGCUC
Molecule: long non-coding RNA, 347 nt
Organism: Onychomys torridus (southern grasshopper mouse)
Lineage: Eukaryota; Metazoa; Chordata; Mammalia; Rodentia; Cricetidae
Exons: 3
Source: RefSeq, a predicted model, not a curated record